Molecule: regulatory RNA element, 93 nt
Organism: Rhizoclosmatium globosum
Lineage: Eukaryota; Fungi; Chytridiomycota; Chytridiomycetes; Chytridiales; Chytriomycetaceae
Rfam family: TPP riboswitch aptamer (THI element)
About the family: Vitamin B(1) in its active form thiamin pyrophosphate (TPP) is an essential coenzyme that is synthesised by coupling of pyrimidine and thiazole moieties in bacteria. The previously detected thiamin-regulatory element, thi box was extended, resulting in a new, highly conserved RNA secondary structure, the THI element, which is widely distributed in eubacteria and also occurs in some archaea.
Source: Rfam
AAAUUGCGAAACGGGUGCUUAAUUGAGCUGAGAGGAUAACCGUCAUAACCCGAACAUGGUAAUGCAUGCGUGGGGAUUUGCCAACAAAAUAAA